GGUUCCAGUGAUGAGGCUGCUUCAGACACACAGCCCUGCACCUACAGGACAGCAGCUCCAAGCCUUGCACCAGGCACAGCUCCUGCAGCUGCCCUGGGACUGUCGCUGGCUGUAUAGAACAGACCAGAUUUGAACCUUCCACAUUAUUGUUUGUUAGGGAGGGGGGAACCAUUACAGGUGGAGUUUCAGGAAUGGUUCACAGGAAACCUUUUUCCUGACAGGGGAGUGCAAUAUCCUCCCACCCACCGAGCAGACAGCACUCAACACCAGCCCGGCCGGUCUCUGAAGGCCAGGAGAGGUCUGACACAGUAAGUCACCUGGGACAAGAGCCAAAACAUGGGACGGAGGUGUUAGAAUCCGUAUUUGGCUUGAGUCUGACGUCGACUGAGCUUAUUUUCAGACCAUGUGUUUUUCAGUUCCAGUUCCCUUUCCUUCGCCUGAUGGAUCAGGUACGUGAUCUGGUGUUUCCUCCUUUGCUGUCCUGUGGGCUGAUCUCCUUUUUUCUUGCUGAAUGAUUUCAUGGUUUUCUCCUCUGUUAAGGAUUUGGUCAACCACUGCUGGGCUCCACUCAGCUGAUCAUCACCCUUGAUAUCCACAAAAUUGAUUUCUUCUCUCCCCCUAUUUCGCUUGCCUUGCAGCCGUUUGAACGCUUCAUCGUCUAGGAAGGAGGAGUCGGUGCUCAUCUCCUGCGGCGGUGCCUGCGCUGGUUCC
RNAcentral lists this long non-coding RNA (711 nucleotides) under Gallus gallus (chicken). The record is from RNAcentral. Lineage: Eukaryota; Metazoa; Chordata; Aves; Galliformes; Phasianidae.